RNAcentral lists this ribosomal RNA (407 nucleotides) under uncultured bacterium. RNAcentral describes it as "bacterial SSU rRNA". It matches the Rfam family "Bacterial small subunit ribosomal RNA", at positions 8 to 408 of the family's 1533-position model. The record is from RNAcentral.
AGAGUUUGAUCCUGGCUCAGGACGAACGCUGGCGGCGCGCUUAACACAUGCAAGUCGAGCGAGAACCGGGGCUUCGGCCCCGGGGACAGCGGCGAACGGGUGAGUAACACGUGGGUAACCUGCCCUCGGCACCGGGAUAGCCCGAGGAAACUCGGAUUAAUACCGGAUUGCCCCUCCGACCUUCGGGUCGGUUGGGAAAGGUAGCUUCGGCCUCCGGCCGAGGAUGGGCCCGCGGCGGAUUAGCUUGUUGGUGGGGUAACGGCUCACCAAGGCUCCGAUCCGUAGCUGGUCUGAGAGGACGAUCAGCCACACUGGGACUGAGACACGGCCCAGACUCCUACGGGAGGCAGCAGUGGGGAAUCUUGCGCAAUGGGCGAAAGCCUGACGCAGCGACGCCGCGUGGGGGA